CUCGUAGGUGGCCAACUAAGUCAGACGUGAAAUCCCUCGGCUUAACCGGGGAACUGCGUCUGAUACUGGAUGGCUUGAGUUUGGGAGAGGGACGCGGAAUUCCAGGUGUAGCGGUGAAAUGCGUAGAUAUCUGGAGGAACACCGGUGGCGAAGGCGGCGUCCUGGACCAACACUGACACUGAGGAGCGAAAGCCAGGGGAGCAAACG
Molecule: ribosomal RNA, 207 nt
Filed under: uncultured bacterium
Lineage: Bacteria
Description: partial 16S ribosomal RNA
Rfam family: Bacterial small subunit ribosomal RNA
Source: RNAcentral